AGCAGUCGCCGCGGUAAUACGAAGGGUGCAAGCGUUACUCGGAAUUACUGGGCGUAAAGCGUGCGUAGGUGGUGGUUUAAGUCCGUUGUGAAAGCCCUGGGCUCAACCCAGGAAGUGCACUUGAAACUGCGAGGCUAGAGUACUGGAGAGGUUGGUGGAAUUCUCGGUGUAGAGGUGAAAUUCGUAGAUAUCGAGAGGAACACCGGUGGCGAAGGCGGCCAACUGGACAGAUACUGACGCUGAGACUCGAAAGCGUGGGGAGCAAACAGGAUUAGAUACCCCUGUAGUCCCUGUCUCUUAUAC
This 303-nucleotide ribosomal RNA is filed under the name uncultured bacterium. Its description in RNAcentral is "partial 16S ribosomal RNA". It matches the Rfam family "Bacterial small subunit ribosomal RNA", at positions 507 to 807 of the family's 1533-position model. The record is from RNAcentral.